Molecule: long non-coding RNA, 4354 nt
Filed under: Homo sapiens (human)
Lineage: Eukaryota; Metazoa; Chordata; Mammalia; Primates; Hominidae
Description: PREDICTED lncRNA (TCONS_00148533)
Source: RNAcentral
GAGCCGAGAUGGCGCCACUGCACUCCAGCCUGGGGACAGAGCGAGACUCCGUCUCAAAAAAAAAAAAAAAAAAAAUACAUUUAAUGUAAAGCCCUAAUCAGAGGCAACGUGUAAAAGCAGAGAAAGCCAGAUAUCUUGGAGUAGGGAGAAAAAAAGAACUUCCAACACUGUGUUGAAUAGGAGUGGUGAGAUUUUCCUGCUUUUUUCUAUGCCUGGAGGCUCCAGGAAUGAGUUUUCUGUGGUUGCUGGUAGCUUGAGGGUGAAAAAUGAAAACAGUGAAUCCCUCUGAAAAGAGUCAAACCAACAUCAACAGGCAGCACUGGAGUUAGAAAAUAUGACGCUUUUGGAGGCCUCACAUACUCCUAUCUUGAUCCAUCCAUUGAUACUAGUAUGGCAAGUAGGUGUGAGUGAAACUGACCUGUUUGGUCACACAUCUAGAAUUUUCUGAAAUUUGUCUCUGAAAAUGUCUCCUCAUCUGCCUUUGAGUGGUAUGGAAUCACUGCUGAGCCUCCACUAUUGGUGCCAUCAAAGACCUCAGUGAUGCCAAGUUUCUGGCAUCAUGCUAGGUUCUAAGGAUACAAAAAUGAAUGAGAUGCUAUCACCUGCUGUCAAGAAAUUCACAGCCUAGGGAGAGAGUGACAUAUGACCAGAGAGGGUCCAAUGUGGACAGAUAAUGAAGAAGGGAGUCAGCAGAGGAGAUUCUGAGAACACAAAGGAGAAGAGAGGCAGCAACCCAGCGUGGGUGGGGUGAGCUGAUCAGAGAAGGCCUCCUGGAGCAGUGCACCCAGAGCUGAUAUGGAGUUGGAAAGAUUAAAGGCUGGAUGGUGAUGAGCAGAUUUCAUCUUUCUGCCAAGAACAGAUUGACCCUGAGCAAGGAUAAAAAGGCCAGCCAUAAGGAGACAUGACAAAUACCAUUGAGUACUGCAGAGCAACUUGGCAGCUGCCCGAGAAUGUGAUGACACAGAAUAAAGAUGUGAGACAGAAUCUGUGCUGAGGUCUAAAUUCACAUUGGAAGUCUGGGAAGAGAAGACUGUUUAUAAAAUUAUAGCCCAGGAAUUGCUGCCAAAGUCGGCCUUUGGUGCAGCUGUAAGUCGGAUGGAAUCCACCUUCCUGACGUCAGACCCACCCACUGGAACACUGCUCCUCUGACUGGGGCUUCCCUGAAUGGAAACUACAUGUCAUACUGCAAAAGACAGGGUCUCACUAUGUUGCCCAGGCUGGUCUCAAAUUCCUUCUCAAGUGAUCCUCCCACCUCAACCUCCCAAAGUGCUGGGAUUGCAGGCAUGAGCCACUGCACCCAGCAGAAAUUCUUAACGAGGCAAGGCCAACAGAGGCCAUUCAUUCAACAUCACGGCACCAUAGUGGCCUCUUUUUAAGACUCCUCAGGUUCCAGAUAGAUUUCAUCACUCAAGAUAAGCAAAUGAACCACAGAAUUUUGAAGUUAGAGAACAACUUCUGAAAGAGAAAAAAGUCUUUGUCUCAGUUUCUGCUCUCCAGAGGUAACCCAAAGAGGUAAGGAACCCAGUGAGAAAGACAGAGAGAAGUAUGGACAAGAAACAGAUCCUAAACCUGUUUUGUUUUAUUUUUGGUAGUAGUUGUUUAUUUUUGAAAACAUUCAAACCACCUGUAUUGGUGGCUGUUAUUAUGAAAUAAAUAAACUGAGAAACAACAAGACAAUUUGGCCUCUACAAUUUGUUUAGUUUUGACUAAGUAUUUGCCUUGGAAGAAGUAUGUGUACAAUACUCAUUUUUAAAAGAUGCAACAGUCACCUCGUUACUUGGAGUUUUACUUGAGACUUGAAUGGACUGAAACCACCUGGUCACCACUAGAAGCUACAUCAAGGAAAAGAAAGGCAACAUAUUGAAUCUCUUGGGAGAAACUCAUCCUGUAUCUGCUCGAUUGAAAACAUGAAGGUGCACAUUCCAAGCUGCAUAUGCUCAGGUCCGAGUUUCCAAGGAAACAAGGGACUGCUCAUCUAUCUGCAAAACUGAACUGACGAGUCACUUUCAGCUUGUUACAAACCUUGAUUCUGAAUCAAAUUCUAGUGUGCAGUCUAAAAAUUCUCACUGCCUUGUCAUUUCUGCCGAGCAAACCCCUGAUGCUAUGAGGCUGGCAGUUGGGCAGGGAUUUUCCUGGGUUGUGCACUCUAAUUUUUUCCUCUGCACUGUUAGUGAAAUACUGUCAUUGAGAACCAGCUCCACACUGCACCUAUGUGAGAAAGGCCUUGGUUUCUAUCAGUAAAGUCAGACAGGGCUAUGUGCAUUUGGGAUGCCCUGGUCAACCAUACAGGAGGAAGCACAGUGGUCUUCCCAGCUCUCACAGUGGCCACCAGCUCUCAGGCUCACAAACUAGGCAAAGCAAAGAGCAACAGAACAACCUACUUCCCAACUUUCAUUAGUCACUCAAAUCCAAGUGGGUGAUCGUAUUUCUGAAGGUCUUGAAUACAGGACUUCCUGACCAUUCUUUAGCAUUUACUGAUGAAAGUAUUUCAGAUGUGUUAUGUUGUUUGGCAUGUGUUAUGUUGUUUGGCAAUCACAGUAAGUGUUGAGAUAGAUACUAUGAUUAUCUUCAUUCUCUAGGAACAGGCACAGAGAGGUUAAGUAAUUUCCCAAAGGUCACACAGUUUGUAAGUGAUAAAACUGAUUUGAAGCCAAACUAUGUCACCCCAAACUCAUAUUUUUAACACUUUAUUCCAUCUUCUAAAAGGCUGGCUAUUCUAUUUUUCUCUAAGUUUCAAAUUAGUAUGCCCAUUCCCUUGUUCAUUCAUUCAUUCAUCCAACAAACAUGUGUCAGGCAUCUAUGCCAGGCUCUGUGGAUAUAGUAUAAUAACAAACAAGACAGAUAAGAUUUCUCAGGGAGCUUACGUUUUGUAGAGGAGACUAAAUAAAUAAGCAAGCACAAACAAUGUAGAGUUUGUAAUAUUACCUAUCCCAGCAAAGGAAACCAACACUAGUGUGAGAAAAUUAAAUUAUAAAAGACCCUAACAUUUUCAAGAUACUGAAGGGGAUGAGAUGAAGCAGAGGUAGAGUGGGGCUGGAUUAUGCUGAAACACAUAGAACAGACUGGAUUCUAUUUUAAGUGAGGUGAUAAAUUCUUAAGGGUUUGUCAUUUUUGAGGUAGAACUGUCUUUUGUUCCUAUUGUAAAGAAACUACAUAGGUAGGCAUAAAAUACACCUGUAUGCCAGAGAUAGAAAAAUUCAUAUAAUUCCCAACUCCAAUUCUAUUUCUCUAGGAUAAUUUUAAUUGUGUAUAUGAAACAUAUCUCAAUGUUCUUGAAAGACUGAAAUCCACUCUUUUUAUUAUUUAUUGACUUAUUGAUUUGUGGUUAAGGAAAAAGUAGACUGAAGUAAAAAUAAAGAGUGCAGGAGUAUAAUUGCACAAGAAGUGGGAGGGAGACUUGUUGAACAGGCAACAGCCUAAAGUGAGUAUCCAUGAGUGGGCUCAGUAUGACCCUGCAGCUCCCCCAUCACACUUGCACCCACCUCAAGGAAUCCAGUUCACCUCUAUGGAAAAUCCCUGGGCUCCACGGGACAGAGUCUUGUUUUGUUUUACAUCUGUGUGUCCAUGCCUAGCCAGUAUCUUGUUUAGUGCAGCCUUUCCAUAAUAUUUGUGGAGAGAAAGAAAAAUGAAAGGAAGAAGAGAGGGAGGGGAAAAAGAAAGUGAGAGGAAAGAAGAAAGGUAAAAAGGAAGUAGCACUCUUGGUUUUGCUUCUCCUUGGCUGUUUCGUUAUUCUCAGUACUCCCCAACCCAUCUUCCUGGGAUAAGAAAAAAAAAAGACAUCUAAAAUGACACUUCCAAAAGAUUAAUAUUUUCAUUUCAACACUUCUGAAAGUAUUUCAAUGAAAUUGCUUUCAAAUGGUUUAUUUUAUAUUAGAUCAUUGAGAGAUAGAUUAAUGUCAUAAACGUAGGUACUAGCAAGCAAUAUUUUUGUCUCCUAUGUGCACAUAUUGUAUAUUUCAUAUCCUCUGAUAACUUGAAGUCACUAAUUUAAGUCAAAUUAGGGAAAGGGCAGUAUAGUAAUUGCAAUAUUUUCGGCUCCUUCUUGGUAACAAAUGCAGCUUCUUUUUUCCCCUCCACCCAUAUAUGAGUCUUCUUUUUCUUUGGCUAAGAUAUAAUAGCACUGCUCUACAUGAACAAAACUAUUUUUACUGGCUAUGUUAUUACUGAGAAAUGCAUUGGGAAAAUGUAAAAAUAUUUCACCUUUAUGUUGAAGAAAAUAAACACAGUGGAUUAGAUAAAAUUUGCACAGCUCUUGACAUGUGCCAUAUGUAACAUUUGGGAAACAUCAAAAAAGAGGCUCUGACUUCUUCGGAGAAUCAUAGACUCUGGCACUGGAGGGGGACUGAUCCACCAC